UUUUUAGUGUAAGUAUGACCCAUGCAACAUUUGGGACAUAUUUAUACUAAAA
Molecule: non-coding RNA, 52 nt
Organism: Pteropus alecto (black flying fox)
Lineage: Eukaryota; Metazoa; Chordata; Mammalia; Chiroptera; Pteropodidae
Source: Rfam